CUUGGUUGUAUAGGGAGAGGUAUUAGCAGUAGAAAGAGGGAAGUGUUCAUGCCAUUGUACAGAACACUGGUGAGACCUCACUUGGAGUAUUGUACACAGUACUGGAGACCGUAUCUUCAGAAGGAUAUUGAUACCUUAGAGAGGGUUCAGAGAAGGGCUUCUAAACUGGUUCAUGGAUUGCGGGAUAAAACUUACCAGGAAAGGUUAAAGGAUCUUAACAUGUAUAGCUUGGAGGAAAAGACGAGACAGGGGGGAUAUGAUAGAAACAUUUAAAUAUAUAAAGGGAAUCAACACAGUAAAGGAGGAGACUAUAUUUAAAAGAAGAAAAACUACCACAACAAGAGGACAUAGUCUUAAAUUAGAG
Non-coding RNA from Pelobates cultripes (western spadefoot toad), 364 nucleotides. The record is from the annotation of a GenBank genome assembly. NCBI's taxonomy places the organism in Eukaryota, Metazoa, Chordata, Amphibia, Anura, Pelobatidae.